UACGUAGGGUGCAAGCGUUAAUCGGAAUUACUGGGCGUAAAGCGUGCGCAGGCGGUUUGGUAAGACAGAUGUGAAAUCCCCGGGCUCAACCUGGGAAUUGCAUUUGUGACUGCCCGACUAGAGUGUGUCAGAGGGGGGUAGAAUUCCACGUGUAGCAGUGAAAUGCGUAGAGAUGUGGAGGAAUACCGAUGGCGAAGGCAGCCCCCUGGGUUAACACUGACGCUCAUGCACGAAAGCGUGGGGAGCAAACAGG
Molecule: ribosomal RNA, 253 nt
Filed under: uncultured bacterium
Lineage: Bacteria
Description: partial 16S ribosomal RNA
Rfam family: Bacterial small subunit ribosomal RNA
Source: RNAcentral